RNAcentral lists this ribosomal RNA (449 nucleotides) under uncultured bacterium. RNAcentral describes it as "partial 16S ribosomal RNA". It matches the Rfam family "Bacterial small subunit ribosomal RNA", at positions 30 to 523 of the family's 1533-position model. The record is from RNAcentral.
AUUGAACGCUGGCGGCAUGCCUAACACAUGCAAGUCGAACGAAGGCUUCGGCCUUAGUGGCGCACGGGUGCGUAACGCGUGGGAAUCUGCCCUCAGGUUCGGAAUAACAGCGAGAAAUUGCUGCUAAUACCGGAUGAUAUCGCGAGAUCAAAGAUUUAUCGCCUGAGGAUGAGCCCGCGUAGGAUUAGCUAGUCGGUGUGGUAAAGGCGCACCAAGGCGACGAUCCUUAGCUGGUCUGAGAGGAUGAUCAGCCACACUGGGACUGAGACACGGCCCAGACUCCUACGGGAGGCAGCAGUGGGGAAUAUUGGACAAUGGGCGAAAGCCUGAUCCAGCAAUGCCGCGUGAGUGAUGAAGGCCUUAGGGUUGUAAAGCUCUUUUACCCGGGAUGAUAAUGACAGUACCGGGAGAAUAAGCUCCGGCUAACUCCGUGCCAGCAGCCGCAGUAA